AACGAACGCUGGCGGCAUGCCUAACACAUGCAAGUCGAACGAGAUCUUCGGGUCUAGUGGCGCACGGGUGCGUAACGCGUGGGAAUCUGCCCUCAGGUUCGGAAUAACCAUUGGAAACGAUGGCUAAUACCGGAUGAUGACGUUAAGUCCAAAGAUUUAUCGCCUGGGGAUGAGCCCGCGUAGGAUUAGCUAGUUGGUGUGGUAAAGGCGCACCAAGGCGACGAUCCUUAGCUGGUCUGAGAGGAUGAUCAGCCACACUGGGACUGAGACACGGCCCAGACUCCUACGGGAGGCAGCAGUGGGGAAUAUUGGACAAUGGGCGAAAGCCUGAUCCAGCAAUGCCGCGUGAGUGAUGAAGGCCUUAGGGUUGUAAAGCUCUUUUACCCGGGAUGAUAAUGACAGUACCGGGAGAAUAAGCUCCGGCUAACUCCGUG
Molecule: ribosomal RNA, 434 nt
Filed under: uncultured bacterium
Lineage: Bacteria
Description: partial 16S ribosomal RNA
Rfam family: Bacterial small subunit ribosomal RNA
Source: RNAcentral